Molecule: long non-coding RNA, 519 nt
Filed under: Mustela putorius furo (domestic ferret)
Lineage: Eukaryota; Metazoa; Chordata; Mammalia; Carnivora; Mustelidae
Description: lncRNA (ENSMPUG00000030400.1)
Source: RNAcentral
GGUGACUGACGGCAGAGGGCGCGCGCGGGGCGCUGGAGAAUCGGGGACUCUGACUCGCAGGCUUGCGUGCCUUCGACGGGCACAGUUUAUGCAGGCGUGCAUUCAUUUACAAUUCAAGUCGGCUUCGAGACUGGCGUAUCUGCCACACUUCCUGUGUAUUUCCUGCACGAAGCCGUCAAACCCGCCUUCCUUCCCGCGCCGGCUGGGAGAUCUCUGCUUUCGCCCGCACCAGUUGAAAUCCGGAUUUCCCAAGACAGUGCUGGGCUCCUGGCUGAUCAACAAAACACCGGGAAGCAGGAGAUCAGAGCCUAUCCAAUGAAACUAGGCAGCACCCUGGGAAAAACUCCAACAAUGCCAGAGAAGGAAGGCAAAAAAGGACAGUUCUGAUCUACAGGGAUGGAGAGGAAGGGCAUCGCAGGUAGGGGGCACCUCGUGAGCAAAGGCCUGGGAGUGGGACUCAGACAAGAUGGGUCUGAGAACCAAAGGUGGCAUAGAGGAGACUCGAGGGUUAAGAUGGGC